UACGUAGGGUGCAAGCGUUGUCCGGAAUCAUUGGGCGUAAAGCGCGCGUAGGUGGCUUCGUAAGUCCGUUGUGAAAGUCAAAGGCUCAACCUUUGAAUGCCGAUGGAUACUGCGAAGCUAGAGUACGGAAGAGGCGAGUGGAAUUCCUGGUGUAGCGGUGAAAUGCGCAGAUAUCAGGAGGAACACCAAUGGCGAAGGCAGCUCGCUGGGACGGUACUGACGCUGAGACGCGAAAGCGUGGGGAGCAAACAGG
RNAcentral lists this ribosomal RNA (253 nucleotides) under uncultured bacterium. Its description in RNAcentral is "partial 16S ribosomal RNA". It matches the Rfam family "Bacterial small subunit ribosomal RNA", at positions 524 to 776 of the family's 1533-position model. The record is from RNAcentral.